GAUGAACGCUAGCUACAGGCUUAACACAUGCAAGUCGAGGGGAAACGACAUCGAAAGCUUGCUUUUGAUGGGCGUCGACCGGCGCACGGGUGAGUAACGCGUAUCCAACCUGCCCACCACUUGGGGAUAACCUCUAGAAAGUAAGACUAAUACCCAAUGACGUCUCUAGAAGACAACUGAAGGAGAUUAAAGAUUUAACGGCUAUGGAUGGGGAUGCGUCUGAUUAGCUUGUUGGCGGGGUAACGGCCCACCAAGGCGACGAUCAGUAGGGGUUCUGAGAGGAAGGUCCCCCACAUUGGAACUGAGACACGGUCCAAACUCCUACGGGAGGCAGCAGUGAGGAAUAUUGGUCAAUGGGCGAGAGCCUGAACCAGCCAAGUAGCGUGCAGGAUGACGGCCCUAUGGGUUGUAAACUGCUUUUAUAAGGGAAUAAAGUGAGUCUCGUGAGACUUUUUGCAUGUACCUUAUGAAUAAGGACCGGCUAAUUCCGUGCCAGCAGCCGCCGUAA
RNAcentral lists this ribosomal RNA (508 nucleotides) under uncultured bacterium. RNAcentral's name for it is "partial 16S ribosomal RNA". It matches the Rfam family "Bacterial small subunit ribosomal RNA", at positions 28 to 523 of the family's 1533-position model. The record is from RNAcentral.